Acanthochromis polyacanthus (spiny chromis) is the source of this 2160-nucleotide long non-coding RNA. RefSeq lists it as uncharacterized. The record is from RefSeq and is a predicted model, not a curated record. Lineage: Eukaryota; Metazoa; Chordata; Actinopteri; Pomacentridae. The transcript has 2 exons.
UAUUACGAUGAUCGACGUCAUUUUGCCCAUGUCGGUAAAUUCGGUGUUUUAAAAAAUAAAAUUAUUUUUGGUCUGUUUUGACUGUGCGCCGGUAUGCUAUGUUCAUUCCCCUUUAAGACAGGGGACAGCGUGUGGAGUCACGUGACUUCACCCAUUCACUCUGAGCAAGAAGGUAAACAGACGACAAGGAAAUGGCUGAUGGUUUAAAUGUAGAAGCGGCUGACGCAUCCGUAGAUGAAGCAGUAUUGGUCGAAGUUGAGCCUGUUGUGCUCAUUCCAAAAAGAAAUUCCACAUCUGUCGUUUGGAAAUAUUUUGGGUUCCACAAAGAUGAUGCUGAGCAAAAGAACGCGAAGUGCAAAGUGUGUCUGAAAACCGUCGUAACUUCCCAAAGCAACACGUCUAACCUUUUCCACCACCUACAGCACAACCAUGCUGUUGAGUUUGAAGAUGUGCGAAAAGCUCAAAGCCAGAAACAAGGUUCGAGAAGUGUCACGGUCACCCCCAGGCAGCAGCGCAUAACGGAGCAUUUGCGGGAGCUACACCAUACGAGAGAACUUCUAAAAGGUGGAUAGAAAUAACCAACGCAAUAGCCUCCCACAUACACACGUGGACAAAAUUGUUGGUACCCCUCAGUUAAAGAAGGAAAAACCCACAAUUCUCACUGAAAUCACUUGAAACUCACAAAAGUAACAAUAAAUAAAAAUUUAUUGAAAAUUAAAUAAUCAAAAACAGCCAUUACUUUUGAAUUGUUGAUUAACAUAAUUAUUUAAAAAAACAAACUAAUGAAACAGGCCUGGACAAAAAUUGUUUGCAGCCAUUUUGCUUUCAAGAAGGGUUUUUUAGCUGUUUUGCUUUCAGAAUCUCAAUUUUCAAGUCUUUGGUGGCUGACUGAAGGACAGAGACAGGCCCAUUUUUGAAAGCCUGUUUCUUUUUAUUCAGACAGGAUCUGAUGUUUUUGCUGACCCAUGGCUUGUUGUUGGGGUACACUUCAACAUGCUUACAGGUAAUAGCUGGUGACAUGCACCAGAGCAUCAAGAUCACCCCCACAGGACUGGAUAAAAACAUCCCAAUAUGUACAAUUAAAACAUUCCUGCAGGGAGAGCACAGGUUCUUCUGACAACAUCUCAUUGUCCUUAGUCUUUAUCUUCUCUCCUUCUGAAACAGUCACAUAGAUGGGCAGGAGGUACACGCAGUUAUGGUCAGCAAAACCCAAAGGAGGAAGAAGGAGGGAUUUAGAAGCAUUUUUCACCUAUCCAUAAUAAAGGUCCAUUAUUUUAUCCUGUCUGGUAGAACAGGAUACAUACUAGUAAAUGUUUUUCAGGGUUGUUAUAAGAGAGUCGUGGUUAAAAUCACCCAUUAUAAAACCUCUGCACUGUCUGUGCGAUGGUGCUGCAGGUGGAGUGAGCCCUUACAUGACUGUAGACUGUGGUGAUAAAAAUUUGGGGGAACUGCCACUGAAUCAAAUAUCACGAUUGAGUGCUGAUGUUAACCAAGUAACCUCAGUCUUGGCUGUUGUGUUUUGAUAAAUGCUACAUUUGGUGAGUAAAGUAAUGGACAGUAUCCCCUGUGCUAUGAAUGGAUGGUUAACAUUACUUGUUAAAUGAGAUGGAUGCUUCUACAGUUUUCCUCUUAUUGUAGGCAUGAGGCAAGAAAGGGACAUUGCAUCCUUUUUUGGCUCCAUUUUUUUUUUUAAAAAGGGAAAGCAGCAAGGUCAUGUCAAGAUGUUGAGAGAGCUGAGGAGCAGGUAGAGGAAGAGCCAGAAGAGUUGGCGAAGGAAUUAUUUAUGUGUCAUUAUAUGAAUCUUGUGUUAAAAACAAACAAAUGCAUAGCCUACAUUUUAAAAUACAUGCAUAUGGUACAUGAUACAUUAUGUUAAUAAAUAUAUAAUUGUAGUUAGAAACUAUGUUUAAUGUGCAUAUUUCCACAGAUAUUAGCAAGUUCAGGAAUGAUGUGACUUCUGAGUAUAGAAUCCAGACGGGCCAAUGCAUGGAUCUCAACAUGUUUGAGGACCAGUUUUCCAGACAGCCCGACCACUUUAUCCUGUUUCUGUAGUUCUAAGGCUUGGAACGUCAGGAACCAAGCCAUUUUUGAUACAUGUGAUUGAUGUUUACUUCUUCCUACACCCUUUUCGAACAAAAUCUGGUUUUUGAAAUUGAUUAU